RNAcentral lists this unclassified non-coding RNA (201 nucleotides) under Hevea brasiliensis (rubber tree). The record is from RNAcentral. Lineage: Eukaryota; Viridiplantae; Streptophyta; Magnoliopsida; Malpighiales; Euphorbiaceae.
AGUGAUGAUUCAAGUGGUAUUUCUGCAAAAUACAAGCAAGCAGAACAUCCUUAUUAAGCACAACAAUCAAGUAAUGAGAUCUAUCCUUUAGUAAAAAUAAAUAAGAAAAGUUGACAAAAAGCAUUUCGUUGGAGUACAUUUAAUGUUGAUCUCAUUCCAACUAAAAAUAGACAGCCCCCCAAAAAAAACCACAAAAAAAAU